Molecule: RNA transcript, 10034 nt
Organism: Cavia porcellus (domestic guinea pig)
Lineage: Eukaryota; Metazoa; Chordata; Mammalia; Rodentia; Caviidae
Gene: Znf641
Gene name: zinc finger protein 641
Exons: 8
Source: RefSeq, a predicted model, not a curated record
CCCCGCCCCGGAAGUGGGCGGGGACGUCCUCUGCCCGCCCGGCCCUCGCCCUCACUGGCUGGGCGGCCGCGGCUCUGAGACGCCAGCUGGCGGCGGAGGGGAGGGGCAGGCGGUGCCCUGGAGGGAGGCACCGGGCCGUGCGGGCCAGGCCGACCCGGGGUCACGAAUUGGACUUCCAGAAAAAAAUGCUCUCAAAACAGACAACUUCCCUGGGGACAGGAUGGGAAUCAAUGAAUAUACAACUGGAUGGGACAGAGCCUCAGGUGGAAAGGGGAAGCCAAGAGGAAGGGCCAUGGAGAGCAGCACCAGGGCCGGGACCACUGGAACACCUAUGCUGUGGCCUUGAAGAGGAGCCACAGUCUCUUCAGAAGGCUCAGUCUGCUCCCUGGGUUCCUGCAAUUCCCCAGGAGGGGAGCACCGGAGACUGGGAGAUGGCAGCUGCACUUCUUGCAGCCGGAUCACAGGGCUUGGUAACUAUCAAGGAUGUAUCACUAUCCUUCUCUCAGGAAGAGUGGCGGAGUCUGGACCCCUCUCAGACCGAUUUUUAUGGAGAAUAUGUCAUGCAAGAAAACUGUGGAAUUGUGGUCUCUCUGAGAUUUCCAAUUCCCAAACUGGAUAUGCUUCCUCAACCAGAAGGAGGAGAAGAACAAUGGGUUCCCAAUCCCCAGGACUUAGAGGAGAGAGACAUUCUGAGGAUCACAUAUACGGGAGAUGGAAGUGAACAAGAGGGGGACACCCCUGACCUAGAAGCAGAACCUCCCAGAAUCCUAUCAAGUGUGUCUGAAGAUACUGUUCUCUGGAACCCGGAGCAGGAUGAAAACUGGGAUUCCACACCCAGGAGCUCCAGAGGAAUGCCCCUGGGCCCACCUUUCCUUCAGGAAGACAGCUUCUCAAACCUUCUGUCUAGUACAGAGAUGGAUUCUCUGUUAAGACCCCAUACAUGCCCCCAGUGUGGGAAACAGUUUGUGUGGGGCUCCCACCUUGCCAGGCAUCAGCAAACACAUACUGGAGAGAGGCCGUACAGCUGCCUCAAAUGUGAGAAAAGUUUUGGGCGAAGACAUCACCUAAUCAGGCACCAGAAAACCCACCUACAUGACAAACCCAGUAGGUGCUCUGAGUGUGGCAAGAAUUUCCGAUGCAACUCCCAUUUGGCCAGCCACCAGAGAGUACACACAGAAGGCAAAUCCUGCAAGGUCCAAGGGAUGGAAGAGAAUGCUGGAGCUAGGAAGCAGCAGCAUGCGUUGCCAGUGCCAAAGUGCCAUGUGUGCACUGAAUGUGGGAAAAGCUUUGGCCGAAGGCACCACCUGGUGAGACACUGGCUGACUCACACUGGGGAGAAGCCCUUCCAGUGCCCUCGCUGUGAGAAGAGCUUUGGCCGCAAACAUCAUCUGGACAGGCAUCUGCUGACCCACCAGGGACAAAAUCUCCGAAGCAGCUGGGACAGAGGGACAUCUGUCUUUUGAAUAUGUUUCUGCUACAACUAUGAUCAAGUUUAUCAACUGGUGCUACCAGUAGUCACUGCCAGAGUUGCCCCUCUCCUUGCACCCCAGUGGCCAGAAUAGUGAACCCUGGUCCUGUCCCUAGAGAGAUGAGGUUCCGGUGUUGGCAAGAGCAUUACUCAGCAGUUGUGUGAGAUAACAUAUAAACAAUGUUUUUUGGGCACAGUUUUGAGAAACAGUGUAUGUUACAUGGGCUGAUAUUCAGCCUGAGCCAUUUGCAAGGAUAUGAUGCUAUUAGUAGUUAUAGCUGAGGUUCUAAUUGGUUGGGAGUCUAUGCCACAUGCAUUUUUAAAUCUUUUAGUAUCAUUCUCUCUAAUUAUAUUCUUUCUGUGUAUGUGUAUAGAGAGAAAGACCAUUUUAACAUUUUAAAGCCUCUGAAAACUUCUGCUGCAAUGUUUUCUAAUUUUAUUUGACCUCAGCAUCCUAUUUUACAUCCCACAGAGCUGGUGGUUCCUUGAAACACACUCUGAUGAACACUGAGUUACAAAGUAAUGAAGAAACAGUAAAGAGACAGUGAGCAAGCACUCGGUGUCCCCCAUUAUAUUCCUAUGAAAACCAGGGGUCAGAUGUCAUCAUUUGUGUGUGAGUCUAGCAUCUUAUCAUCUAUAUAUACGGCUACACUCUCACCUCUACCUGCUGAAAAUAUAAAGAAUGACCUUUCAUUACCCAUUACCACCCCACCAUUCUGCACAUACUUAUAUCCAGCUAAAAGAUUAUGCUACAAUGCUAAAAUGAACCUAUACCCUCAAAUAAUCCAGCCCUACACAGAAGAAAACACUAUCCUUUUGGUCAGAGCCCAUCCUCUUGGUUGUGCUAUGUGUAUUUGUGUAUAUGUGUGCAGGAUCCUUGAAGAAAGCAUGCUAAGUGCAAAUUGUACAUGCUAGAUUUUCUAGGGGCUAUGUUCUGGUAGUGGGGCUGUAUGGGAUUUUUGUUUGUUUCAUCAUGGGAAGAAAUCUAAGUGAUGAAGGAACCCUGAGUGGAAAGGGUUCAGUGACAUGUUAAAUUGUGUAUAAAGUUCUUCCCAGUAUCAGUGAGAUCAAGACAUUUGAGAUUUAUAUAUCUAUAUUGGAACCUCUGGUUGCAGAUUGUUUUCACCUGGGAAGACAGAGAGAGAUCUUCAUUGCAGUGACUGUUUCUUGUUGAUUUCAGGCAAGGUGCAUAUAUAUAUAUAUAUAUAAGGUUUGUGAGUAGGAGUUGUUGUGUCGUGUUGUCCUAAGUGCUGGAAAAUUAGCAAGGAAAUUAUAGUGUUUGCGAGUUGUUGUUCUUGUCACACUUAUUUGAUCAACUCAUCAAGGGAGAACUUAUUCUCAAAGAUCUCAUUCUCCCAGAUCUGAACUUUGGGGAUAAAGCCUGCUUAGAUCCUCAGCAAGUUGGUUUUCCUCUAAAUCCUGGGAAAGUGUCCAUGCUAAAAAACUUUUCGGUAUCUACAGAAAGACUCAUAUAAGAAUUCUAAUAUAUGUUUAUGAAUUGGUCAUUGUUUCUCUGUAUUAAUGAUGGUGGUAAUGCCAACAUUAUAAUUUCAAAAUUAUCUUGAAUGGAUAAGCAGUUUGGAGUUUGAGAAGAAGUGAAGCACAGGGGAGAAAAGUGGGAUAUUUUCACUUUAAUGCUUAGAUCCUGUUUUUCUAAAACUUUCUAUCCUAUUUUCUAAAGUAUUUAUUUCUCAAUCCUAGUUGGUAGAAUUAACCAAAGAGGCAAGAGGAAGUGAGCUGCAACAACCUAGUUUAGUGAUUGUUCCAUCUACUCUGAAAAAACUGGGUGAGUCACAGCUCCUUAGGGUCCUGGGCUCAAAGGAAAUUGAAGAUAGGGCUUAAGACUAUGUGACUUGAGUAGGCCUAUCUCCCUUCUGUUAUGGCGAGCAAACUUCCUUCUUUGUCUGGAAUGUAAUUCUCUUGCUUAUGUUUCUACAAACAAAGCAAAAUGGCCAGCCCUUUGUGGGUAGGCCCUAUUAGUCCUCAGAGAUGGCAGCAUUUGAGGGCCAAUAUUAGAAAAUGCCUAAGAAAAAUAGGAAAAUACCAGGCUUUGUUGUUAAAACUGGACUGUGGCAUUUCUUUUACCUUACUGCUUUAAUACAGAUUUUAAAAGCAAAUCAGCUCUGUGGUGGAACAUGUUUUGGAUUGCCAUACCUGUUUGAGAAGCUGAUGGGAACCACAAAACCAUGGUUGACUAAAUAGGCAUUUUCAGUUCAAAUCAGUAAACUGGGGUCAAUGUGGUUAUAUAUAUAUAUAUAUAUUUGUAUCAAGAAUUACAUAGUAGGGGCUGGGGAUUUAGCUCAGUGGCUUAAGUGCACUUGCCUGGUAAGUGCAAGGGCAUGAGUUUGAUCCCCUGUAUAAAAAAAAAAUUACAAGGCAAGGGUCAUUAUUUUAAAGACUAAUAUCUAAGAGGCAUCAGGAUAUGAAGAUACAAUCUGGUCUUUAAUGACUAGAAGGAUGCUGCUUAUAUUUUAUGUUUUAAAGAUCUGAUAUGCUGGCAAAUCCAUUUAAUAUACUUUGUUUUAAGAAUAUGUAGGGAAUGAUAUCCCUUAUUGUCAGGUACUCUUAAUGACUAUCUGGUAAUUUCCAAAUUUUUAUCUGUGUUAGUAAUUGUAGAGAUAGAAAGCGAACCCUCCUAAAUUGAAGUGCAGUUUAUAGCACCCAGCUAAAAGGCAUCAUGAACCCUAAGGGCCUUCUGUAGAGGGGGCAAUCCUUUGGGUCAUUUCUGGUGUACCAUUGUCUCCUCUACCUCAGUCCAAAACUACAUCCUUUGGACAGUAAAUAAAAAAUACAUAAAACUGCUAUCAGAUGAGUGAAUAGAUUUGAGUCAGCCUCAAACUUCAUCUUCCAUCAAACUCUCUCAUGCCACAUGGCCACUUAUUUCCUUUCAAUAAAAAAAAAUCUGUGUUCUCUCUGGUCAAAGUUUAAAACAAAAUUCCAUCUUUAAGACCUAUCACAAUUUUCCAUCUGUGGUGCUGCUACUCUCUUCAAUCCCUUGCUUUCCCUGAGGAUAGCUACAUUUUAAACCUUAGCUUCAGUUUUGGAAAGAACUACUUUUGCUUGUUAAAUGUUAUGCUAUCAUUGUUUCCUAUUUCCAUCAAAGAUAAGAUAAAACUUAAUUCAGACCCAGAGAAGUGAGGGACAGGUUGCUUCCAGCACUGAGUGAGGGUGAGCAGGGUUGAGCAAUAACAGCAAAGUAAAAUCUGUUCCUUUAGAUCCCUUAGCCUGAGCUGGCAAAAUUUUCCUCUCUUCCUUUGUGUAAUGCCAGACCAUGGUUCUCAAAAUGUGAUUUUGGAUCAGCAGCAAAUUCUCAGACCCCACUUCAGACUUUCUGAAUCAGAAACUCUGGAAGUAGAGCCCAACAACCUGCCUUUUAACUGCCUGUCAGUAUAUUAUAGAAGCUAAAGUUUGAGAACCACUGCUAGGGAAUUCAAACUCCAUUUCAAGCAGUGAUACCUCACCCUCCUCAAAUGAAUGUUCACAGUCCUGUUGUCAUCUUAAGUGCACUAGGCCUGCUCCCCUUAGUUCUAAAGUCUUCCCUCAUCCUUAACUCAGUGAAAGAACUGCAUCCCUUCACAAAUUUCACAAACUGUGGUGAGUUACUACUAAGCUCCAAUGAUUGAUUCAAGCAGGCACUUUGAAUAUGAACAUUCGAAACACUUGGAUCCAGAAAUCUGAAACAACAGAAAGAAAAGGAUAGUCCAAAAGAUAGCUCAAUUUAAACUUUAAAAAUUGCCUGCAAGAAAAUCAUCUUCCUUUAUUAGUUAUCUGGUCCUUUCUCCAGGGCUUGUAAUAAAUUUCCCUAGAGCCAGAUGGGGAGAGCAUUCAGCUGAAAAAUUGACACUAAGUCUUAUUAUGCUGAACCUGUAAGGGCCAAGGUUUUCCAGCCUCAAAGUUGAAUUAGCAACCAAUAAGGGGCAAUGCAAAGAAUUUCUAACCCUGGUUUGGUGUACCCCAUAGGCUAGUACCAGGACCAUCAGAGUGUAUCCAGGGUACAAGUAGGAAAUAAGCUUGUCUAGUGAGAUAUGACACAAGCAAAAUUCAAAUCUGGACUAUUUUUUAGGUAGAGGUAACCAGUUACACUGUGGUUCCCAAAAAAAAAACAAAACAAAAAACCAGUAUUCCUGCCUGAGAACUUCUAUGCAUUUCAGGUUGUAGAAAAGGAUCCAUUGGAUAAGGCAUGGAAGAUGUAUGGCUUCCAGGAGGAGAAAAGGCAAUGCCUCCCGUGAGCCCACCAGCCUACCGGCAUGCAGACUGAAAAUCAACACCCUCCCUCCUAAGCAACACACUGGUUCAGAGGACAGGCUGAGUUGAUAGCAAUUAAGAAACAUAAAGCAACUAAACAUUUUUAUUGUUUGGUUAAUUUUCAGCAUCUCUUGGAAGGAUGACAGUAUGCAAUAUAGUAAAUAUGAGGAAUUUCCUAUCUUAUCUUUGAAAUCCAAUAUUCUCAUUGCUUUGCUUUGUUCUGAUUGUUUUGCUUUAUUCAAUAUUCUGUUUUGAUUGGUUUUAUUCUGUUUUGUUUUUGGUUUGAUUUUGCUAUACCUGAUGGAAUGGACAACUAUUGUGAAGAUAACAAAGUACACUAUGGUCAAAUACAAGACACAAGUCAAAUACAGGAUACAAGAUGGCAUCAGUUAUGCCAAGCUACAACAAUCUGAGAGAUGAAGUAUGACCAUGUCCUCAUCCUUAGCAUGUGCUGCACAGAAGCAUCCACCUUCUCUGCUUUCCUGCCAAGCAUCAAGCCACUGUGACUGUGUGCCCACUUACAGAAGUUUUUGGCCAGGCUCACCUGCCAUGCAACCCAGCUUUCCCUCUGACAAACUGAAUAUUUUAGGAUUAUCCGAUGUUGGCAUUAGUCUGUAUUCAUUUAGACCUGUAUGUUAUGUAUCUCUUGAAUAGAGAAGUUGUGAUGGUUUAUACCCUUGGUUCUCUCCUCUACUUUUACUACCAUUCCCCACUCUUCUCUCCAGGCGAAAGACUGCAACCGUAGCGGAUGGUAGUCAUGGUGGGUAGGUAAGUCCAUAUGUCUCAUGUGAGCUUCCCCCUCAAAAAAAUAUAAGGCUCUGGAAAUGCAAAAUUUGACUCUGUCAUGUAAGACAAAGAAGUUAACAAGAUUUGAUAAAUAGAAAGUACAGAAUGAAGACUGUGAUUCAGAUAAGGAAGAAAACAGUAAUGUAAAUAAAUAUUUGAGUAGUCAGAAUACUACAAAAUGGUCAUGUGUACGUGAAUGAUCCAACCUUAGAACUAGAUCAGAAAAUGUUAACUUUUUGCCAGGAGUUAAACAUUAGACAAAUGGAAACACUGGGAUUCAACAUUGGAAAUUGUAAAGCACCAUAUGCUACAAGAUGUUUUUUAAGUAUACUAGUAAUGAAAUACAAAUAAAAUACUCAAUAUACAUCAAUAGCAAUACUCAAAUAUAUAUUUAGCAUGACUUCUCACUAUCUGAACUAAAAGCAUUCAUAACAAGAAUUUAUCAUUCCAAAAGUUAGAGUCUAAAGAAUUUAUGCAGAAGUGACAGAUGUGGUGUAGCAUGAGAUUUUAGAACAAUAAUCACAUUCAAUAGAUUUAGUUUUCUUCAAAAUUGCCUACAUUUUGAUGACAAAAAGAACCAUCAAGAAACGAAAUCUGACAACGUGGCUGCUAUUUGCCCAUUUUUUAAAGCUUUGUUUUGCAUUGUUAAGUGAUUUAUACACUGUCUGAAUACACGACAAUUGAUGAAUAACUUGCAGCAUUUCAUGUGUGUUGAAGCUUCUAUGAUAUAUGCCAAGUAAAUGUCCCAAAUAUAGUAUAAAAAUGUAUGCCAUGGUAGAUGUUAAGGUGCUUUACAUCUUGUGCCAUGUCCAGCACAGCUCUUGAAACUCUGGAGGGAGGAUGCUGGAGGAUGAAAAAAAAAAAAUGCAGAAAUUUGAGGUCAAGUGGAGCCUCCUCUCCUGGUGGGGAAAAAAUAAUUAUCAAUUACUACAGUGCAUUUAUUCAUACAUUCAGAAGGUAAUUGUCACUUGAAACCCCUCUGCCUAGCAACUUUUUUCCUUGGUUCACCUUGGGUGCCUUGGGUUCUCAGAGCUGGACAGUUGUUCAUGUCUCUCACAUCAGGUGCUCUGUGUUUCAGGGUUGGCUUUGCUUUAGCCUUGCCUAUGUGAUCAAUCUCCAGAUCCAACCACUCCCCCACAUUCCCUGCAUUUCUGUUUUGUAGUUGCAAGCAAUGGGUGGUCAGUUGAAGUUGGAGGAGCUAUGUUUGAAGGAUUCUGCAUAAGAUCUUUUCAUUCUUGAAUGCUUUUCAUUCUGUGAGAACUUAUGUAAGUUUAAGAUUUCCCAUCCAGGGAUUUGGGGACCCUGCAUUCAGCAAUUUAAUCCUGUAUAGUCUCUCUACCCUGGUCCAUGAUUGGUGCUGAUUCAUGCUUUAGAAAAAAAUAAAUUUAAAGUCAAAACCAUUUGUGGACCAUGGGUAGAGAGAACAAGGCCACACGAGGAAGCAAGCCCAGUCUGGAAAACCAGCGCCAUGCACUGGCCGCCACCAGACUAGAAUAGCCAGACCCCAGACUCUCCCUGUGAGUCAGCAGCAUUUGUGGACUGGGGUUAAAGAGAAGGAAGGCCACACUGGGAAGCAAGCCCAAUCUGAGAAUCAGUGCCAUGCGCAGGCUGCCAGCAGACUAGAACAGUCAGACCCCAGCCUCUCCCCAUAAGUCAGCAUCAUUCACAGACCCGGGGUAGAGAGAGGAAGGCCAGGAAGCAAGCCCACUCAGAACCAGCACCAUGCACAGGACACCACCAGACUGGAAUAGCCAGAUCACAGCCUCUCGCUAUGAGUCAAUGCCAUUCAUGGGAUUGAGAGAAGAAGGCCACACCACAAAUCAAGCCCAGUCUGGGAACCAGUGCAACGUGUGGGCUGCCACUGGACUGGAACAGCAGACCCCAGCCUCUUCCAUCAUGCUGGCUAGCAAGUAAGAAGUACCAACCCCUUCCCCAUAAGUUACUGAUCUAUGUGGAGAAACACAGGCUGUGAUUAUAGCUAUGGAGGUGAAAUGCAAUUUGGAUGCCUGUGGUGCCUUAGUGUUUCACUAAUAUUGCAGAUCGAGGGUCAGUGGUCUGAUCAUAGGCUCAGAGGAUAGUGUUGCACAGUGUGACAUCUAGAGGGCAUCUCCUUUUGAGGGUUGCACCCACCGUUGAUUCCCUAUGGUCUUGUUUUGGAAGUCCUAUAUUGUUUCUAUUGUUUUGUUGGGUUGGGUUUUAUUUUUUGCUUUUGUUUGAUUAUGUCAAAUAUGAUGGUGGCAGCAGCAAUUUCAAAGAUAGCAAGAUAUAUUAUGGUAGCAAUUUUGAAUUUACUAUUGGCUUGUUUCUAAGUACUCUAUUGCAUUCAUUGUUUUGUUUUCAUUGUUUCUAUCCUAUUCUGUUCUGUUUCAUUUUUACUAUGUCCAAAGCUAUCUGCAACUAUUUUGAAGACAUCAAAAUGCAUUAUGGGGGCCAGGAUUUUAGCUGAGCAGUACAAGCACCUGCAAGGGCAAGGUCAUGAAUUCAACCCCUGGUGCAAAAAAAAAGUGUGGGGGGGAAUUAUGGUAACUAUUGUUGAUUUUGUAAUGUUUUUAAGUUCUGUAUCUCUUACACUGAUUUGUUUUGAUUGGUUUUAUUGUUAUCCUCUUUAAAAUAAAAUUUAAAAAAAGAAAAGAAAAAACAAAUUUAAAGAACCCAUGCUUUAGCUACUCCUUUCCAAACACUUGGAACCAUAACCUGUUGUCUUAUGAGCUAUAUUAAACCCAAGAUUAAAGGGGCCUGGGGCCAUGGGUAGUGGUCAUGUUUUAAAGUUCCUUUAAGGUUUUAAAGAGUACAGCUUCAUGAAGAUAUGUAACUUAUCCCAGAUUAUUGGGGUCUUGAAGUUUAGCAAUAGGCUAGACAUGUUGAAAACCCUCCAAGGAUUCUUUUGCCUCCUGGUUUCUUUUAGUGCCAAUUGCAAGAGAGAAAGAAAUGAUAAUUCCAUUGUAUUAAGAGUAGCAGUCUCAGCCUGUGAUGCAGCAAAGUUUUUUUGAAUUGAGAAAGCAGAAGUAGCUGCUUGUGGCACAGUUAAGGUUAUUAGUUUUCCUUUGGGCCACUGUGAAAUGGAAGUUGCAGUGAAAUACUCUAGUAGGGAAGGAUGUUCUUUGUCUCUCCCCAUGGCUCCUUCCUUAUCUGUGUUCUUUGUUUUUGGUUUGGUUUGAUUUUUUAACUCAUGACCACACACUUGCAAGGCAGGUGCUUAUGCCGCUGAGCUAAAUCCCCAGCCCCUCCUUCCCUAUCUGUAUGAGCAAAGUUAGAGAGGUCAAGCUUUACUAGGGGAAGUGGGCACCUAUUGCUCCAUUAUCCUUUUUCUGCUUUGGAUAUAGUUUUCAGAUAGUGCUCUGAGCCAAAUUCUCUGUGGUCAUCUCAAAAGACAUAACAAUGAUCAAGACACUCUCUGAUCCAUGUCCACAACAAAGAGGUAAAUACAGGAAUCAACAAACAUUUGAAUUUUCAUCUGUUCUUGAGUCUGUUUGCCCCAUGCUUUAUGUAUGAUGAAAUCAAUAUUGAUAAUAUAACAAUAGACCUCUCUCCUCUA